CGCCUCGGCCCGCACCCCUCCCGCCGCCCGGAAAGCCCCGGGCCCUCCACGCGGGAGAGUACGAUUUCAGUUUAGGAACGGGUUGGUGGAAGACGGAGAUGUUAACACGAUGUGCUGCAAUAUCUUCCUAGGCCCACGAGGUCUCCUUUUUAUUAUCAUUACUGUUACUCAUUAUUAUUUUAUAAAACACACACUCAUGUUGGCUGAUCCUUGAAACCACCGGGUGCUCCAGGCACUGUGCCCACUGCACAGAACGGCGCUGCCGGGACAGCUCCUGGAACCUGGCGGAAGAGGCCACCCUGGGAGCCCGAGGCCCCGCCGGUGAGACUGCCCAGUGAUCCGGACCCCCAGCCUCCAGCCGCUUGCUGGUGCCUGGGAAACUUCCUCUGCCAGGCUCAGCUUUGAUUUGCUGUUUCCCUGAGAGAAGAGUGAGCCCAGCAUUCAUCGAGAAGUCCCAGCCGACCUCUGGAUGGUUCUUGAGGGAAGAAACUUCUGGAUAGUACAUCUCUGGGAUUUUUUAAGUUCCAGUGGUUUUUGUGUUUUAUCACUUUGUCUAGUUGUCCAAUUUAUUACAGUCCUGAAUAGUUAAAUACAGUCUGCUGAAUAGAAAUUUCUGACAUGUAACCACUGUAUCUACAACGAAUAUAUGUAAAACAUAAACAUUUCAAAUUAUUUAAUUAA
Long non-coding RNA from Herpailurus yagouaroundi (jaguarundi), 681 nucleotides. RefSeq lists it as uncharacterized. The record is from RefSeq and is a predicted model, not a curated record. The transcript is spliced from 2 exons. Lineage: Eukaryota; Metazoa; Chordata; Mammalia; Carnivora; Felidae.